UUUCCGUAGGUGAACCUGCGGAAGGAUCAUUAUUGUAUAACCAAGGUGCGGGGGCUUCCGCUGACCCGCAACUACGUGCACGCCAGAGUGCCCCCACACCUCUCCAUCUCACCCCUGUUUGCACCACCGCGUCGGUCCCCCUUUGGCGUGUUGGGUGGGCGGUAUACGUUUUCACACAAACUUUAGUUGCAGUUUAGAAUGUAUUUUUUCUUUUUGCGAUCACCCAAUCAAAACAACGUUCAUCAACGGAACACUUGGCUCUCGUAUCGAUGGAGAAAG
This 279-nucleotide unclassified non-coding RNA is filed under the name plant metagenome. RNAcentral's name for it is "partial contains small subunit ribosomal RNA, internal transcribed spacer 1, and 5.8S ribosomal RNA". The record is from RNAcentral.